RNAcentral lists this ribosomal RNA (492 nucleotides) under uncultured bacterium. Its description in RNAcentral is "partial 16S ribosomal RNA". It matches the Rfam family "Bacterial small subunit ribosomal RNA", at positions 29 to 507 of the family's 1533-position model. The record is from RNAcentral.
AGUGAACGCUGGCGGUAGGCCUAACACAUGCAAGUCGAACGGCAGCACAGUAAGAGCUUGCUCUUACGGGUGGCGAGUGGCGGACGGGUGAGGAAUACAUCGGAAUCUACUUUUUCGUGGGGGAUAACGUAGGGAAACUUACGCUAAUACCGCAUACGACCUACGGGUGAAAGCAGGGGAUCUUCGGACCUUGCGCGAUUGAAUGAGCCGAUGUCGGAUUAGCUAGUUGGCGGGGUAAAGGCCCACCAAGGCGACGAUCCGUAGCUGGUCUGAGAGGAUGGUCAGCGACACUGGAACUGAGACACGGUCCAGACUCCUACGGGAGGCAGCAGUGGGGAAUAUUGGACAAUGGGCGCAAGCCUGAUCCAGCCAGACCGCGUGGGUGAAGAAGGCGUUCGGGUUGUAAAGCCCUUUUGUUGGGAAAGAAAAGCAGCAGGUUAAUACCCCGCUGUUCUGACGGUACCCAAAGAAUAAGCACCGGCUAACUUCGUG